AGGCUCUUCAUUGGUGUGGAUCUGAUCAAAGAUGAGGCCACAAGGACACCAGCAACUGAAGAGGCUGCCUACUUGGUAUCAAGACAUGGAAGAGAAGGUGAGAAGUUGUGAAACGCUGAGGCUCCAGCCCUAAGCCAGCCCUGCUCUGCCUAGGUGUACUCCAGAAGAAACUCAUCUCAUCCAAAUACACGCUAUUGAGAAGGCGAGCCUGACCUCCCUCUUACAGAUAAAGUCAGCUUUCAGAGGCUCAGGGUGGGGGGCCUGCCCAAGGCCAUAAUGCUACCCACCCCCUCCUCCUAACCACUGGUCUGUUGGGAUAACCCAGAUGUCUGCAUCCCCUCAAGUCAGUCAAUUUCCUUUCUGUCCACUGGGGGUGGAAUGGGGUAGGGUGGGGUACUUUAAAGUGCUCCUGCUUAAAUAAGUUAGACCAGACCAGUGUAUUUCUAAAGAAAAUCCUGACAUGCACACCCAUUAAAAAUAGUACAUUUUACAGUGUCCCAGUCAUACUUUUAAUUGGCAAAUUAAAAUAAUGCAAUCUGAUAUAUUCUAUCCUACUAAAUUAAAAAUACUGAAUAUAACCAACUAAAUAUACUUACUCCUAAGACUCACUACCAGUAGUUUCACUUAAACUCUGCCUUAGAGGCUCUUCCCACCCAUUUCCCAUUAUGGCACAUAGAGAAAAAGGCCUCUAUCACUGUCCACUGGAGUAAUAACCACUGCUUCCCCUAACUGCCUCAAAGACUGUCAUUUUAUAGAAAAUUUAAGACUAUCCUAAUCCACUCUUCCCAAACUCCCAGCCA
RNAcentral lists this long non-coding RNA (800 nucleotides) under Pan troglodytes (chimpanzee). RNAcentral describes it as "long non-coding RNA NONPTRT014377". Lineage: Eukaryota; Metazoa; Chordata; Mammalia; Primates; Hominidae. The record is from RNAcentral.